Molecule: ribosomal RNA, 428 nt
Filed under: uncultured bacterium
Lineage: Bacteria
Description: bacterial SSU rRNA
Rfam family: Bacterial small subunit ribosomal RNA
Source: RNAcentral
AGCGGGAAUAUUGCACAACGGGCGAAAGCCAGGUGCAGCGACGCCGCGUGAGGGAUGAAGGCCCUCGGGUCGUAAACCUCUUUUGGCAGGGACGAACGCAAUGACGGUACCUGCAGAAUAAGCCCCGGCUAACUCCGUGCCAGCAGCCGCGGUAAUACGGAGGGGGCAAGCGUUGUCCGGAUUUACUGGGCGUAAAGAGCGCGUAGGUGGUCCGCUAAGUCGGCUGUGAAAUCGCUGGGCUUAACCCAGCAAUUGCAGUUGAUACUGGUGGACUCGAGUCCGGGAGAGGGAAGCGGAAUUGCUGGUGUAGCGGUGGAAUGCGUAGAUAUCAGCAAGAACACCGGUGGCGAAGGCGGCUUCCUGGACCGGUACUGACGCUGAGGCGCGAAAGCUAGGGGAGCGAACGGGAUUAGAAACCCGUGUAGUCC